AGUGUGAAGGGAGACGCGAUAAACCAGAGAAGGUUGUCGAGCAGCGUCACCUUUGAGGCAGUAAGUCUAAUAUUAAAUCAUAAUGAGAAAGAAGUCAAACAUAAAAUACUAACAAAAGCCGGACUUGGGACGCCAUUAAGCGACCCGUUAACCCGGAUAAUAACGAAAGAAAGCAACUCCAGACACGACAGGCCGCGGUCGCCAUGGUGACCGCAUAUCAUUGAACAACCAACCAAGAGAGCCGGACUGCCGGUGGUUAUUCUGUGGCUGCGCUAAAGAUUUUUGUACCGGUAUCGCAUUUGAGAGGGACAUAACAGGAUAGUUUUAAUUAAUUUACAAGCUAAGCAAUGUUUUAAAUUCACACUCGUGGGGCUAUGCAGAGGCUGUGUGUUGGGGGUAAAUAAUAUAUAUACCAUAACAAGAAGAAGAGUUAGAAAUGGGAAAAAAAAUAAAUAAGAGGUAAGUUAAACAUUAUUCUGAUGUAUGCUAAGUGGUUGUUAGACCGAAACGUUGUUAGCGUAAAACAUUACAUGAUACAAAAGAUGCACAUUAUAAAGAAUGGUAGAACCAGUAGGAUAUCAUACUAUGAAAGUUGAAACACAGAACUUGUGCAUUUGAGUGUUGACCAGAUACCACAAGGUAACAAUCGAGCAAUUUUAAGAAGUAGUUCACAAAUUCAAUAAAAAGAACACAACUUAUUAAUUUCACUGUACAACAUAUAAUCUAAAAACAGAAAUGAGGAUGAAUAAUUAAUUCACUGUGCGAUAUACUAUAAUAAGGUAUCACAAAAUAAUUCAAGCUUUUAAUUCCAGGUGAUGUCGAUUUGAGGGCUGUGGAUCAAGUCAGGUAUUAUCUUGAUAAACACGAAGGAAGGGUAAAAGUGUGACUUGACAAGUUCAAGAGGCCUGGUAAGAAGAGAUCAGAAGAUUUUUAUAUUUAAAUUUGAAGGUCACAUAGGAUGAGUCAUGUAGGUCUUGGGUGUUCAUAUUAAGUUGAAGAGUGGCUGGGUCCUUUGCGUUGGCGAGCAAGCAAGCAUCAUCUGCAAACAAUUUACUCAAGAGGUUCGAGCAGUUGGACAAGUCGUUUAUGAAAAGGAGAAAAGCUAAUGGGCCAACUACGGAACCCUGAACAAUUCCGCAGUGGAUGGGCAACAUUGGAGAUCUGUGUGGGCCUACUUCAACAAAUUGGUAACGACCUGUCAGGUUCCUGAUUACAUAGAGAACUUCCGAAGGUGUUGUUAAUUCAAGAAAGAAAGAGUUCUGCGAAGGUACACCUAGAAAUUCGGUACAUGGUUUUGAGCAGCGUGCGAUUUUAUCUGCAAGUUUCUUCCCUAUGGUUGAGAAGAAUUUAUUAAAUUCGGUGGCCACUUGAACUGGAUCAGAAACUGUGGUACCAUUUUCUAGUAUCAAUUCUGAGAUGGUGAUGUUAUCUCUUGACUUAAUUUUGAUGAUGUCAUUGAUGGUUUGCCAUGUGCGUUUCACAUCGCCUCUGUUGUUCACUAGAAUAUUAUGGUAAUACUGUUGUUUCGAUUUUCUCUGCAAAUGAGUUAGAAUGUUUUUGUACUUUUUGUAGUGAAGACGCUGGGAUGCAUUUCCCUUCAGAUACAUUUGCUUGAACAUAUUAUUUUUGUGUUUGAUUGACUUAUGGAUUCCCCUGGUAAUCCAGGGCUUAGAAUACAAUUUAUUUUCUCUACGUGAAAGUGGGCGGAGUGGUGCAUGUUUGUUAAUUAACCACUUAAAAUGGUUGAGAAAGAGAUCGAAUGAGCUAUUAAAAUUUUGUUCAGAUAAGAUUUCACCAAUAUAACG
Molecule: non-coding RNA, 1805 nt
Organism: Styela clava
Lineage: Eukaryota; Metazoa; Chordata; Ascidiacea; Stolidobranchia; Styelidae
Source: RefSeq, a predicted model, not a curated record